UGGGGAAUAUUGCACAAUGGGCGCAAGCCUGAUGCAGCGACGCCGCGUGGAGGAUGAAGGUUUUCGGAUUGUAAACUCCUGUUAAGUGGGAAGAAAGACGCGUACCUAAUACGUACGUGGGAUGACGGUACCACUAGAGAAAGCACCGGCAAACUUCGUGCCAGCAGCCGCGGUAAUACGAAGGGUGCGAGCGUUAUUCGGAAUAACUGGGCGUAAAGAGCGUGAAGGCGGUUUUCUAAGUCACUUGUUAAAUGGUUCAGCUUAACUGAGCGCAUGCGGGUGAGACUGGGAGGCUAGAGUGCAGGAGAGAAAGGUAGAAUUCUCGGAGUAGCGGUAAAAUGCGUAGAUCUCGAGAGGAAUACCGGUUGCGAAGGCGGCCUUUUGGCCUGUAACUGACGCU
RNAcentral lists this ribosomal RNA (400 nucleotides) under uncultured bacterium. Its description in RNAcentral is "bacterial SSU rRNA". It matches the Rfam family "Bacterial small subunit ribosomal RNA", at positions 355 to 747 of the family's 1533-position model. The record is from RNAcentral.